GACGGAGGGUGCAAGCGUUGUUCGGAUUGACUGGGCGUAAAGGGCGUGUAGGCGGUUGGUCAAGUCCGAUGUGAAAGCCCGGGGCUCAGCUUCGGAAGUGCAUCGGAAACUAGCCAGCUGGAGCGCGAUAGAGGAGGGCGGAAUUCCUGGUGUAGCGGUGAGAUGCGUAGAUAUCAGGAGGAACACCGGCGGCGAAGGCGGCCCUCUGGAUCGUUGCUGACGCUGAGACGCGAAAGCGUGGGGAGCAAACAGG
This 253-nucleotide ribosomal RNA is filed under the name uncultured bacterium. Its description in RNAcentral is "partial 16S ribosomal RNA". It matches the Rfam family "Bacterial small subunit ribosomal RNA", at positions 524 to 776 of the family's 1533-position model. The record is from RNAcentral.